UCUAUUUUUGCAUUGCAACACUACUUCAAAUGUCAAAGUUGACUGUCAGAUUGAAGUCAUCAUACGCGCUGCGCGUUGUAGCUAUUUUUGUUGAUUUUUAACUUUUUAACAACGUUUAUUGUUAGGAAUAGCAUUUACAUGUGUUAUUUAGACAUAUUUCUUUUUAUUAAACUCAACAUAUGGUGCUAAACUUGCUCUAGUAACAGUUGCAACAGCGAAAACGAAUCGUCAUUGUUGUUGGUGCAAAUAUUUUUAAUAUUAUAAGUGGCUAUAGGCUUUGUGGUUCAAUAUGUGUUCAAAAUAGUAAUAAUAUUUUACGAUAAAUCUUACAAACGCUAUUUUAAAGAGUGAAACUAUUGUUAAACGUGGACGGAUCUACUUUGCCAUAAUAAGAUGGAAUAUGUACAAAACCCUGCAAUAAAGAGGCCAACACACAUGUUAGAGAGUAAGCGACAACGAGACAACAUGAAUAACGAAAUGUCUUCAAGCUCCAGUGAAAACGGCACUCCUACACAUGACCCCAUUGCGAAGUUCAAUAAGUUCUACAAAUCUCAGUACAACGAUGCUGCUGUAUCUGAUAACGAAAUCCUCGAGGCACCAAGGAAAACAAACAUGUCCAGAGGUCACUUCAAAAGCAUGGGAAACAUCAACGAGAACUUCAGAGCAAAAGACUUCAAUCGCAACAUGAAAUCUGUACAAAAUAGCAUAAGCAACAUAGACUUAAGUCUGCACCGGGAGGAAAUUAAAAAGUAUGAGUCGUUACAAAUUCCUAUCGUUGGUUAUGAGGUUAUGGAGGAACGAGCAAGGUUUACUAUAUACAAGUUGAAAGUAGAAGAUGAUAAACGGGAUCAAUCCUGGCUUGUGUUCCGUCGUUAUACAGACUUUGUGAGGUUGUACUCCAGAAUCAAAGCUGAGCAGCCGAAUUUGAUGCUUCCAUUACCAGGUAAGCGUUGGUUUAGAGAUAACUUUGAACCUGCAUUCCUAGAAGAACGAGUGAGAGGCUUACAAAUCUUCGUGAAUGCUAUUUUGAGUAAGCUACCAAAUCAUCCCGUUGUCCGUGAGUUUUUCUGCAUGGAUGAGCCUCCACAAGUAUUUAGUUAUCAACCGGAGGUCCAAGCUGUAUACGGGGCCUUAGAGGACUCGAUAACGACUCUGAAAAUGCAAUUGAAGCAGAAAGAUGCAACGAUUAUGCAUUUGCAGAAACGUUUAGCUCAGCUUGAGGGUGUAGUGAAGAAUUGUCAAAGUUGCAGUACAAAUUCAAACAUGAACUCAAUGUGAUUCAAAGUGAUUUAAAUUCAAAAUGUAUUACUUUAGUUUAUUUUCAACUGAAAUGUAAUGAGAGUCAUUCCAUGCAUGAUUCUAACAAUAUUAACAUUGGUGCUAAUUACUCUAGACCAUCUAAUUUUAUUUUAAGUUAUACCUGAUCUUUUCUUAUCCGCCGAAAAGGAAAGGACGGGCAUAAAAUUUAUGUAACACGUCAAUUUUAGGCACAAAUCUAAAACAACCCGCAACGUUUUACAUUCGACACUAAAAGAAAUAUAUUGUUCAUUCAUUCACUCAUUCAUUUUAAAAUUAACAGCUGUCAAUGAUCUGCCCCUUUUCUUUUCGGCGGAUAAGAAAAUGACAGGUAUAACUUAAAAUAAAAUUAGAUCGUGCCUGCGAGAAUUAGCACUAUUAUCGAUAUAUCCUUAGCUUAAUAACAGGACAGAAAUAUAGUAAAUAAACAUAGUGAGAAAGAGACAAGAGAUAUGUCACUCCAACCAGUUAACAGUGGCAGCCCUAGUGACAAAGACACUGGCUCAUUUUUUUAUGUCAAAUUGUUCUUUCGUGUACUCUGAUCAUGUCUGCCUAAAGGUAAUAGAAAUAAAGCUCUUUUUACAUAUUUUUUCCAAUGUAGGAACUUUCCCGAAAAUGGUACAUCACUGUAGACUACCCUUACCCCGAUAUCGACCCCGCUGGCGUGGUCGACGAUUUCCCUCAUUCAGCGCUUAUCGCUAUCGACCCACUAGGGUCGAUUAAUCCUUUCAAAUAUUCUUCCGCUCAGACGACGCCCUGAUCCGAGGUUCGCGCCCAACUGUUGUACCGGGUGAGAGCCUUCAGCGCUCCCCAUUUGUCCUGCUAGUAAGUAGUUAACUAGGUAUAUUUCGGUGGACGUAAACUAAUCGAAAAAAACUGUAUUGUGAGGCCUCGCACCACCUAAAUAUUUUGCUAGGGACGCCACUGUUGAGAGUCUGUCCGUUUCUCAAGUAAGAAGUGAUGAGUAAUACAAAAGUAUCGUAAUUAUUGAAGAUCGUUGAUCUUUAUUUUUUGUUCUGUAUGUAGAGCACAGUUCUCUCUAAUAAAUAUUAAAAUAUGUAAAUUAUUUAUAAGAAAGCAAUAAUUAGUGCAUUUUAUUUGGUAGCUGUGCUAAUGUUAAAUUUAUUUUAAGUUUACAAGUGAAUGUGUGUGCUACUUUGUAGACCUACUUGAUUUUGGGUGAAUUUUUGUGAUUCCGGUGGACAUAAUUCAGUGGCGAUUUUUUUUCAUGUAUUUCUAAAGUGUUCGUUACAAAUAAGUAUCUAAAAUGACGAUACGACCAGUGCUGCCAAUGUAAAAUUUUAAGUUCCCUUUCGCAACAGGCUUAAUUCCCCGAAUUUCCCCACAACUUUUAGGCUAAUUCUUCGCCGUGAUAAUUACAUAGAAAUAGGACAAAUAUAUAUAUGUAUUACAUGAAGGCAAGAGGGAAACCACUGCCCUAUUUUUCCCUAUAAAAGUAGCAUGGAAAAUGCUGCACCGACAAGAGCGUGGCUCUUAAAUUGAUGAUGAUAUAUUACAUAAUUCUUCUAAGUGACAAAUACAACUUAAAAAACAAAGCUUAUGAACUAAACUAUUAAGUGCGCAUUACUUUUUCCAAAUUUUUGCCUUCAGCAUGUUACUGCUGGGUUGAAACGUUAAUCAUUUUCCUGCAUUAGAUAUCCCUUGCCCUUAUUAUUGCAACAAUGGUAUUGUUAAGACUUCCUCAAUAUUCAUAUUCAUUUAUUGCAUGUCACAAACAUAAAUUAAGCUGGAACAUAGUAAAAAGGUACAUGUGGCGCCCUGCAAGGCACGGCAAUAUAAAAGAGGCGACACUAGGUGCCUUAUUAUAAUAAUAUACUUGAAAAAUACAGAAAACACAUUUAUUGACCCAUUGUCAAAUUUUUCGUGAAUUAACCAAACCCUGCCUUGUCCCCGCACUACCCCUCCAUACCCCGCAAAUCGGCAAAUUCCCCGCCAAUUGGCAGCACUACAUAAGGGUUGACCUACCUGCGCAAUCCUUGUGUUGUAUUGUUGAAGAAAUAUUUGGGCCACCGAAUUUACGGUAAAUUUACCCUUUUGUUAUUAUGGCAACACUAAAAACAUACCCCGUUUUUCAUUGUUAAACAAAGUAGGUGCAGGUUAGUUUGAAAGAAUAUAAAUAAGACGAGUGUCGAAAAAAUGUUUUUUAUAAUUAAUCUGAUAAAUGUACAAGCAAUAUCGAUGUGUGUGCCUUAGAUAAUAAUGUGUAAUGUAAUAAAUAAAUGCAUUGGCAGCCUUAUAAAUAUAACUUUGAAGACUUUUUCGUGCUGGUAACAUUGAAAAAAGUUUGUGCGUUGUAAUUGGCUAGUAUAAAUCAAUGUUGCCAGGUGAGAUUCGUAAAAAAGAUUUAGAUAUAUAUACUUAUAUAUAUAGUCACUGGAAAGGCAAAAUUACAUGAGCGCCGGUAAAUCCUAAAACAGCAGUUCAUGUUAUAAUAUGUAUUGCUAGAUAUAGAAAAUGGAAAAAUAAUGGUGCUGAUUCUAGAAUACACCAUCUCCCUAGUAUUAUCCCGUUUUUCACAGGGUCAACUUCCGUAACCUGAAGAUUUGACAGGACGGGUUUUUUUACAGAAGCGACUGCCUGUCUGACCUUCCAAGCCGCGAAGGGAAAACCAGUCCAAUACAGGUUAGGUCAUAUACCGAAAAUGCAUUUCACGGGUAUGUAUGUGGGUUUCCUCACGGUGUUUUCCUUCACCCCUGUUUUCACGACGUUUUCUAGAACACACCAUCUAAUUUUUUUUAAGUUAUACCUGUCAUUUUCUUAUCCGCCGAAAAGGAAAGGGACGGAUAAUUGACAGGCAUAAAAUUUAUAGAACACACGUCAAUUUUAGGCAGAAAUUAAAAAAAAACCCUUUCCAGUGACAAUAUAGACGAUGUAUAUUUGGGACCAUAGUACAAAAUAUAUUUCAGUUGAAUGAAGUAAUCUUAGUAAGCUAUAAGAUUAUUUUCUGUCAUAUUUUUGCAUUUAAAUGUAACAACAAUUUUCUGAGUAUAGCCUUCAAUAUUAGUGUUGAUUUUGACGUUCGAAACUUUAUUUUAUUUUGACAGCUCUAGAUGUUAAUGCCUUCUCUUUUAUUUGUUUCAUAAAUGUCCUCCUAGGUCUAUCCCUCCCUCAAAUAAAAGAAAAGGUGCAGAUCGUGUCGUAUCAGGAGGUGAAGGUUUUGGCGGGAAGAAGAGAGGAAUGGCGAUUACUCCACCGACAAGAGCGCAGCUCUUAAAUAAAGAGAAAGAGGUGUAAUGCCAUCCCUUUCUUACAUUGAGUGCAAGAAAGUGAUAGAGCUAGUUUUGGAACUGUCAAAUUGGAAUAAAGUUUGCAUGGGUGGAUACGGGGGGGGGGGGGGGGGUGACUUCCCCCAGGGCGACAGGUUGGGUCAUGGGUGGCCUCAGCAAUUAAUGUUAUCUAAUCCUCAAUGGAGUUAGGUUGUCUGCGACCUGGUUACACCCCCACCCCCCGGCAUAAAAGCUGGAUCCGCUCCUGAAAGUUUGGUGCUGAUACCAGUACAUACCAUCUAAUUUUAUUUCAAGUUAUACCUGUCAUUUUCUUAUCCGCCGAAUAAGAGGGAUGUAAUCGACAGGCAUAAUUUAUGGAACACACGUCAAUUUUAGGCAGAAAUUUUAACAACCCUCCAAAAGGUUACAUAGGCCAAUAACCCGACAUAAAUACACAUUGACAGUACACGUCAAACGGGUUGCAUACCAGCGAGAUGCCUAUUUGAUUCGCCAGGGUUAUUCAUUCAUUCACUCAUUCAUUUUAAUAUAAACGGCUGUCAGACACACGUCCCUUUCCUUUCCGGCGGAUAAGAAAAUGACAGGUAUAACUUAAAAUAAAAUUAAGAGGUGUGUUCAGGAAUCAGGAUAUUUCGUGUAGAUUUAAUUUAACCAUUACGAUGGUGUUAUAGUGAGUUUCAAUAUUUACAAGUUGUUUUCUAUACUAAAAGUAUAAAAAUGUACCUUUGUGUAAUUUUUAAGUGUUAUAAAUAAAAAGUA
RNAcentral lists this unclassified non-coding RNA (5300 nucleotides) under Pectinophora gossypiella (pink bollworm). RNAcentral's name for it is "sorting nexin-16". The record is from RNAcentral. Lineage: Eukaryota; Metazoa; Arthropoda; Insecta; Lepidoptera; Gelechiidae.